UACAGAGGGGGCAAGCGUUGUUCGGAAUUACUGGGCGUAAAGAGCGUGUAGGCGGCCAGGUAGGUCAGCUGUGAAAACUCGAGGCUCAACCUCGAGCUGUCGGCUGAAACCAUCUGGCUAGAGUCCGGAAGAGGAGAAUGGAAUUCCCGGUGUAGCGGUGAAAUGCGCAGAUAUCGGGAAGAACACCCGUGGCGAAGGCGGUUCUCUGGGACGGUACUGACGCUGAGACGCGAAAGCGUGGGGAGCGAACAGG
RNAcentral lists this ribosomal RNA (253 nucleotides) under uncultured bacterium. RNAcentral describes it as "partial 16S ribosomal RNA". It matches the Rfam family "Bacterial small subunit ribosomal RNA", at positions 524 to 776 of the family's 1533-position model. The record is from RNAcentral.